CCUACGGGAGGCAGCAGUGGGGAAUAUUGCACAAUGGGGGAAACCCUGAUGCAGCGACGCCGCGUGAGUGAAGAAGUAUUUCGGUAUGUAAAGCUCUAUCAGCAGGGCAGAAAAUGACGGUACCUGAAUAAGAAGCCCCGGCUAACUACGUGCCAGCAGCCGCGGUAAUACGUAGGGGGCAAGCGUUACCCGGAUUUACUGGGUGUACAGGGAGCGUAGACGGCAGCGCAAGUCUGGAGUGAAAUGCCGGGGCUUAACCCCGGAACUGCUUUGGAAACUGUGCAGAUAGAGUGCAGGAGUGGUAAGUGGAAUUCCUAGUGUAGCGGUGAAAUGCGUAGAUAUUAGGAGGAACACCAGUGGCGAAGGCGGCUUACUGGACUGUAACUGACGUUGAGGCUCGAAAGCGUGGGGAGCAAACAGGAUUAGAUACCCGGGUAGUC
This 440-nucleotide ribosomal RNA is filed under the name uncultured bacterium. RNAcentral's name for it is "partial 16S ribosomal RNA". It matches the Rfam family "Bacterial small subunit ribosomal RNA", at positions 338 to 795 of the family's 1533-position model. The record is from RNAcentral.